RNAcentral lists this ribosomal RNA (466 nucleotides) under uncultured bacterium. RNAcentral's name for it is "partial 16S ribosomal RNA". It matches the Rfam family "Bacterial small subunit ribosomal RNA", at positions 28 to 505 of the family's 1533-position model. The record is from RNAcentral.
GACGAACGCUGGCGGCGUGCUUAACACAUGCAAGUCGAACGGAAAGGCCCUGCUUUUGUGGGGUGCUCGAGUGGCGAACGGGUGAGUAACACGUGAGUAACCUGCCCUUGACUUUGGGAUAACUUCAGGAAACUGGGGCUAAUACCGGAUAGGAGCUCCUGCUGCAUGGUGGGGGUUGGAAAGUUUCGGCGGUUGGGGAUGGACUCGCGGCUUAUCAGCUUGUUGGUGGGGUAGUGGCUUACCAAGGCUUUGACGGGUAGCCGGCCUGAGAGGGUGACCGGCCACAUUGGGACUGAGAUACGGCCGAGACUCCUACGGGAGGCAGCAGUGGGGAAUAUUGCACAAGGCGCGGAAGCCUGAUGCAGCAACGCCGCGUGCGGGAUGACGGCCUUCGGGGUGUAAACCGCUUUCGCCUGUGACGAAGUGUGAGUGACGGUAAGGGGUAAAGAAGCACCGGCUAACUACG